AAUAUUUUCAAAAUUAUAUAUGAAUAGCCACCGGGUUCACUGUCAGACGGUUGAAUACAAGUUCAAAAUCAAUAUGAAAUAAAUGCUCAUUUUUACGACGGAUUUUUCAUCACCUCCCUAUAUAAUAUGUAUAAGAAACGUUUCUGAUAGUCAGUCUGCCGUUAACUCAUUUAUUUUGAUUACGCCAUUUCUCUAUAAAGUUUUUAUAAUUGUAUUAACGUUUUACAAAGCAGUUUAGUUUAGUGUGCGGCUUUAAUAAUUUAUUUUAUAGAAAAGAGCAUAAUACAUCAUUACAGAUAUAGAAUUUCCCUCACGUAAUCCGCUAUAAUUGCGAUCUGCUUGUCGGAGUUUUCUAAUCACUAGACCACGUGACUAUGUGGGCGGAGCGAUCGAUAAUUUGGCGACUGGUCAAUUGUUGAUAAGCUGAUAAUAAUCUUGAGAACAAGUCACCCAGAUCAUUAAAGCGUACCAUAACGGUUUUACCAAUAUAUGAAUGAGAUAACGUAAAUAUUAAACUUAACAAAUUUCAAAGGAAAUAUUUUCUAAUGACAUCUUCACUAAUUGCACAUGCAAGUAAAAGUACAUGAAUGCUGUAUGUAUUAUGUGCAGCAAAUAUGAAUAUGUAAACUUCAUGAAAUAAAAAAAAGUAUAAUA
This is a long non-coding RNA of Dreissena polymorpha, 654 nucleotides long. RefSeq lists it as uncharacterized. The record is from RefSeq and is a predicted model, not a curated record. Lineage: Eukaryota; Metazoa; Mollusca; Bivalvia; Myida; Dreissenidae. The transcript has 2 exons.